UGUCAGGUGGUCAGAACCCAGACUAAAGCCAUGGGUCAUGGUGAAGAAGGAUAAAAGUAAACUGUUGUAUGCCAAAGGUUGGCCAGGAUUAUGUCCAAGAAUUGCACUCCAGUAGCAGGUUAAGACAUGAAUGGUGGGGAGCCAACAUGAGGUUUCCAGAGAGGCUUCUUUCACUUAGGCUUUGCAGCAGCACCAGGGCCUUCACCAUCAGUGAUGCUGGUCUCCUUAUCCAUAUUGCCUACCAGUACAUUCCUCCCCUGAUGCAUUGAUCUCCUGUACCUGUUGUGGAAGUUGUCAGGGACAACGAGCAGUUGUGAUAAUAAUUAAUUACUGAAAUGAUGAAGUCCAUCCCGGCAUGACUUGCUUAUUUUAUUGUGCACACUAAUACAACAACUUCAAACAUC
Long non-coding RNA from Engraulis encrasicolus (European anchovy), 404 nucleotides. RefSeq lists it as uncharacterized. The transcript has 2 exons. Lineage: Eukaryota; Metazoa; Chordata; Actinopteri; Clupeiformes; Engraulidae. The record is from RefSeq and is a predicted model, not a curated record.